This 492-nucleotide ribosomal RNA is filed under the name uncultured bacterium. RNAcentral's name for it is "partial 16S ribosomal RNA". It matches the Rfam family "Bacterial small subunit ribosomal RNA", at positions 29 to 507 of the family's 1533-position model. The record is from RNAcentral.
AGUGAACGCUGGCGGUAGGCCUAACACAUGCAAGUCGAACGGCAGCACAGUAAGAGCUUGCUCUUACGGGUGGCGAGUGGCGGACGGGUGAGGAAUACAUCGGAAUCUACUUUUUCGUGGGGGAUAACGUAGGGAAACUUACGCUAAUACCGCAUACGUCCUACGGGUGAAAGCAGGGGAUCUUCGGACCUUGCGCGAUUGAAUGAGCCGAUGUCGGAUUAGCUAGUUGGCGGGGUAAAGGCCCACCAAGGCGACGAUGCGUAGCUGGUCUGAGAGGAUGAUCAGCCACACUGGAACUGAGACACGGUCCAGACUCCUACGGGAGGCAGCAGUAGGGAAUAUUGGACAAUGGGCGCAAGCCUGAUCCAGCCAUACCGCGUGAGUGAAGAAGGCCUUCGGGUUGUAAAGCCCUUUUGUUGGGAAAGAAAAGCAGCAGAUUAAUACCCCGCUGUUCUGACGGUACCCAAAGAAUAAGCACCGGCUAACUUCGUG